Molecule: long non-coding RNA, 3788 nt
Filed under: Gossypium barbadense (sea-island cotton)
Lineage: Eukaryota; Viridiplantae; Streptophyta; Magnoliopsida; Malvales; Malvaceae
Description: long non-coding RNA (GBAR_LNC020036)
Source: RNAcentral
CUAAAUUUCCCCCUAAAACCCCUAAUUCUUUCCCCUAAAAUUUGUAUCCUCAAAACAUCCUUUAGGUGUUUCUAUCCGCCACCACGUCUUCAUCAUUAUCGUUCCCUAGUUUUGCUACUUUAAGCUCCUCUUCUUCUCAACCACCGUCUUUGUUUUUCUCUUGUUUAUCUGGUCGGUGUAUUUUUGAGGAAAAUCCAAAUUUUCUUGAAAGAUUUCCCGACCGACGAUUAUUCCAUGUUUAUCUUUUCGUCAAAAUCUCGAAAAUCAAAACAAUUCCGGUGUUUUUGUUUUUGAAGCUAAAGAGUCAUCUUGUUUUCCUUCUCCGGAUCGCUUGAUUUUGCCGCUAAACCUCUUCUGAUUUUGUAGCUAGGUACACUGUGAGAUUUUUUGGAAUCAGGCGUAAUGAGAAGAUUGCUUGCUACGUGACUCUGAAUAUUUCAAGUACAAAAGUUGAAAAAUAAAGAAGAAUCGUUUCAAGUACUCAUCUAUCUUUUUUUUCCUUCUUACUUUCACUUUUUAGGGUCUGAAAUUUCUUGAACUUUGCUCAAUUUAGUCGAAUCUGAACUGCACUAUGGAUGCUUAUCUGUAUGCAAAUCAAAAUAUUAUAGUCUAUAAGUUUAAAUCGGUAUAAAUAAAUAUAAUUUUCCUUUUAGCUCGUUUCUGUUUGCCUUAUAAAUAAAUAUAAUCGGUAUAUUUAUAAAUAAAUAUAAAUCGGUGUACACGAAAUCUACCAUAGUUGGCGCAUGAAUACCUUUGUUGUUAUUAUCAAAGGUCCGCAAAUUGUUUUGCCUUUGUUUCAUUUUUCGUUCAUCUAUUCCAACAACAUAUUGAACAAUAAUUGCUCGCGUCACAGUUAUUUCCAAUAAAUGUAAAAGGUUUAGCAGGAAGCAUAUGUAAUUUUAUGGGCAGUUUCAUUGGUUGGGUUGUUGCAUACUACUUUAACUUCCUAUGUGAAUGGAGCUGAACAGGUGAUUCAUGCCUUGUUCAAUUUUGUCAUAAUAUUUCUCAAGCUUCUUUUAUCUUACAAAUGACUGCAUUUCUUUUGGCAUUGUUUCAGGGACAUUCUUUAUAUUUUCAGCCUUUUUCUGUGCAAAUUUCAUCCUAUUAGCAAUAAUGGUGCCGAGACUAAAGGACGAACACUGGAGGAAAUACAAGCAUCAGUUAGUCAUUCUUCAGUUUGAAAUACCAUCAGCAAUUUGCUUUAAAAUUUGAUCUGUCUUGCUGGGUUUUUGUGCUGUGUCUUUGCAGAGUAUCGGGUAGUCCUUUCAAUCCUCAGCCAUGGCGGAACAGGUCCACAUUCCUCUUUUUCUGCCUUUUAUCUGUCUUAUUUUUAUGUGUUGAAACUGCUUUGAUCUUUCUUUUUAUUUUAUAUUAGACGGAGAAAGCAUUUCUCAAACACCCCAAGGUGUUUUUAAGGUGAACUAGCUUCUUCCAUGUCUUUAUUAAUUCUUGGUUUUGUUGAUUUCAUUUUUAAAUUAUUGUUUUCCCCCCUUUUAAAUUAUGAAUCCAUCUGUUACAAAUCUAUUUUGCAUUGCUCAUCAAAUAACAUGCACAAAUAAUAUUAUUUGUAUAUAUUUUGAGGAAAAUUAUAAUAUUAUUAUAUAUAAUCAAUGCAAAAUUUUUAAGGCACCUUAAUAAAUACGAAAUUUAUAGGCACGGAACUAAGAAUGAUUGAAGCUUCUGCAAACUUUUUUGUUGUCAACAUGGCGACUUUAGCUUUCUCAGCAUCAAUAAUUACUGAACUGUUAACCUUAAUCUCCUCAAAAUCAUAUUCCUUAGCAAGCUUCAUAACUAGCUUAACGACACACUAAUCUCUUAAAAGCAAAGAAUUUAAUUGAAGUUCAUAUUUUUGCAAGUUAAAUUUAGUAGAGUCUGUCGUCAUUCAUUGUGUGGUUAUUUGUGUUUUUCUGCCACUGUAUGUUGUUUUUGCUUUUUCCUUUUGUGGUGCUUUGUCGCACAGCACUUGGGCUACAUAUCCCCACGAGUUUGAAGACUUCGCUACUGGUCUGCUUAAAAUUCUGUGGAAGGCAAAUUUCUUUAUAAAUUAUGAAAUUGUUCUAAAAGAAAAGAAAGAAGCUUAAAAUGUGAAAAAAAGAACUCAUCAAACUGUUCUUUUUUUAACAUUAAAUACCUCUACUAGUAAUUUUGGAUACCGCUUCUUUGCUUCCAAUCAUACCUUGUUUAUUUCUAUUCCAAUUAGAUUACAUUGAUAUGAGCAUGCUUUAUCUGUUGACACCUUUCAUAAACUAGUUUCUGCGCAAAUCACGUAUCCUUUUCAUAAACUAGUUUUAGUUCAAUGCAGUAUGGUACUUAAUUUGUUUUCCAUAAUUCCUUGAAAAGAUUUUAUAUUACAAAAUAAGAUCAUUGUCUAUUUUUAAGUUUUGUUCCUCAUGAAGUUUGAACAUAGAUUUGUUGACCAGAAUGUUGUGUUUCAUGUUUUCACUUAGAAAUACCCUUUGUAACUUUUUUAAACAUUUACCUGAUUUUGGUCAACCGAAAUCUUAUUACUUCUUAUCUACAUGUUUUUUUUUCAAUUAUUGGAUAUUCUGUUUGAUUCCGUGUUAAAAUGUGGAAGGUAGUACUGGAUUAUGGAUUGGCAUUCUGUAACUAUUUUCCUUGACAAACUUAGAAAUAAAGCAAUCACAUUCACUAUUUUUCAAGCCUUUCAAGCCACUUGCGUCUUACUCCUCUAUGUUGAAUCAAAUUGAGGAAUUGCUAAGUGCUAGAGACUAUAAAGCUGCCAUGCAGCUAUCAGAAAAUCUAAGAAGCUUGGCACUGAAGGGACUUCAUUAUUUUCAAACUUUUUGAGGAUUCACUUCGGCUUUCUCUUCUGUUUUUGCUUCUUUGAUUCAGCUAAUAGGUGCAUUACUAUAAAAGUCCCUGCUUUGUUUCUCUUGCCAUACCUGUUUAUCUAUCGGGUUUUUAACCAUGAUUUUAAACUUUUAACUAAUUUUAAAAAAAAAUUAUUGAUUAGAUAAAUUUAGAUUAUCUGAUCAUUGAAUCUAGAUGUUGUUGGGCUGCCCAGAAAAAAAAAAAAACUUGAAAUAGGUUUACUUAGUACUAGUUAAAUCAGGCUUGAUUUUAGAUAAAUCUAAUUAUUAUCUUUAAGCAUGAUAUGUUCUAAUACUUUGAUUUAAGCUGUUGAUGUAUGUAUUCUGACUAUGGAAUAUCAUGUUCAAAUAUUCUACAAAGAAGCUAAUUAGGAGAUUCUGGAAUUGUUGAUGGUAAUUGGAAUUUAAGAAUAUAGGCUUAAGGGUUUAAUUGGAAUUUAAGCAUGAUAUGUUCUAAUAUUUUAAAUUUAUAUUGAUGAAUACUUUCCACCUAUAUUAACUUAAAUGAGUAGAUAUAUUAGUAGUGUACAUUUUUUAUUCCACAAACAAUCUUAAAAAGUUGAGAUAUUAUUUUUUUUAGAUGUAUUUGUUAAUAAUUUACUAUAACAUUAUAAAACAAUCUAAAAAAGUUGAACUGAUUUACUUAUCUUUGCCAUGUUCACUAUGGUUUGAACAGAUUAAGUUACUCUUAUUUUCAUUGCAGUUCAAAUUCGAAGCCAUGCUCAAAAUUUUCUCUAAGGCUCAUUGCUUUGAGUUCAUUACAAGAUUUCCUUGAUUAAGUAAAUGUAUUAUAUCUUUUAUUACCAAGAUUUACUUGAUUAAGAAAAUGCAUUGUAUAUUUUAUUACCUUGCAUAUGUAUUAUUUAUUUUAGUUUUGAUUCUAAAUUUUUAUUUUUACUUAAGUGUUCUAACUUUUAGAUUUUAAUUGUGUUAUUAAUUUAUUAUUUUAAAUUCUAA